AAGGAAUUGGCUCACAUGAUUCUGGAAGCUGAGAAGUCCCAAGAUCCGCCAUCUGCAAGCUGGAGACCCAGGAGAGCUGGUGGCAUAGCUCUGAGAACUGGAGGGAGGAUGGCGUAAAUCCCAAGCCGAGGGCAGAAGACGCCGGAGGUUCCAGCCCCACAGUCAGGCGGAGGCAGCAAGUUCCCCCACCCUGGCCUUUGUGUUCUGCUCAGGCCCUCAAGGGACUGGACGAUGCUGCCCGCACUGGGCAGGGCCAUCUGCUUUACUCAGUCCACCAACUCAAAUGCUAAUCUCGGCGGAAAGCACUCUCACAGACACGCCCAGAAUAGUGUUUAGCCCAGUAUCUGGGCGCCCUGGGAUCCAGUGCAGUUGAAACAGAAUCUCAACCCUCACGCUGCUCCUCCAGGAACACCUGUCCUUUGAAAUGUUCCUGGCGACGAUUUUAUCCUGACUCGUCUUCACUUGUGGUUCAACAGCAACCUUCAGGGCAACCAGGGCGGGUCAUCGUGAGUCGCACACGAGUGGGCACCAACACACCGUUAGAGUGGAAGAAAACACAUACACGGCUCACGAAACGCGGGGCUGAAUGCUCGGCCUCCUUUCUCUCCCGUUGCACUCCUAGCGGCAUCUCCGAAGGACCUUGCUUGGGUUCACGGCCAGUGAGCCUGAGGAAAAUGAUGCCACCGAUCACCCUGGUUACCUCGAGCCCCCGCAUGCUUUCACCUUGAUCUUAUUAAGCAAAACAUAAGGAGCUGAUGCCACAGCUGACGAGCGAUUCGCUGGCUGUAAAGGGCUCCACUCAUGUGAGGUAGAUUAACUCUCGCAAAGCAUUACUCAUUAAUUUGCCCCAUUGUAGAAUAUUACUGACUACAUGGGGCUUUUUAACGUCUUAAAUUUCCGUCCUAACGAUUAGCAGCGCUUGAAACACUGCCUUCUCUUGACUGUAGAGGAAAGUGACUCGCUGUAGGAUCACGCCCAAACAGCAGCCUCUGUUGUCCUCUGAUAACGUGCCUACAUCAGGCCGGUUUCAGAAACGUCACCC
RNAcentral lists this long non-coding RNA (1042 nucleotides) under Equus caballus (horse). Its description in RNAcentral is "lncRNA (ENSECAG00000054422.1)". The record is from RNAcentral. Lineage: Eukaryota; Metazoa; Chordata; Mammalia; Perissodactyla; Equidae.